This is a long non-coding RNA of Neocloeon triangulifer, 2299 nucleotides long. RefSeq lists it as uncharacterized. The transcript has 4 exons. The record is from RefSeq and is a predicted model, not a curated record. NCBI's taxonomy places the organism in Eukaryota, Metazoa, Arthropoda, Insecta, Ephemeroptera, Baetidae.
GCGAGCGGAGCUGCGAGUUGGGCAGCGCUGCCUGCCGAGCGCCGCGACCGCCGUGUCAGUCGAGCUGGAGGCGGCGGACGCGAAGCACACCAUCGAGGACUCUCUCGCCCCACUCGCGCGCCUAAGCCCCUACUCGGCCUGAUUCCACUCCGACCGGCACACCAGACACUCAGUGGAACGCAAACUGGUUUUCUCUCUUCUCUCGUUUUUUUUUCAUCCUCUCUCUCUCUCUCUCUCUCUCACUCACUCUCCGCCGGUAUGUGGGAGGAUUUUUUACAUUCGCCGUACUCGACGAGCAUUACUCACCAGAGCGGCUAGAAUAUCAACCGGCCCCACUUCUUCAGUCUGCGAGCUGCUCCCUUGCGACUCCAACCUCUGUGAGAAAACUCCGUCUUCAACAAGCCGGACUUAAAAAAAAUCACUCUAGAGUUCGCCAAAAGUGAUGCAGAUUUAAGGUCGAGCAGGAAGAGGGUGAUGGACGAGUACGAGUGCGAGCGACGCGUCCAAAACAUGAAGAUUACGUUGGUCGGCGUCUUCCAGGAAGCAAAGUUUGUUGGAGCACGCAAGCGGGAUUUGGAGCUCUUUGAUCGCGCAAAGUUUUCGGUCAAAGAGCUUAGCCGGUUGUGCGGCGAGCAGCAGAAGAAAGCAAUUAAGCCACAAGACGCGACCUCUGUGCGGCUCUACACCUUGCUGGAGGCAGCGCAAAUUAUAGAUAAUGCGUCUCCAUUGUUGGCUCCGACAACAACUGCCCCGAACGGUGAGUUUCUCUCUGCAAAAACGUUUCAGCUCUGUGCGGUUUUAUUGCCCGAAAUUGGCGCAAUUUCUGCUCCUCUCUGUUUAAUGUGCGUUUCAUUUUUUAUUUUUGUCAGCUCAGCGUUAACUCCCAGAGCAAAAUUACAAUUCGCGAAAGCAGUCCGUUUUAUCUUCUGGACUGUGGAAAAAAAUAUUGAAUUUUCGCUGGUUUUUUACCCGGAUGGCGUCCGUUUCGGCGCGUGCUUUGGCCGCAAGCUCACAGAUAAGUUGCUCUUAUCAAAAAUACACACUUUAUGCGCGCCACUAAAACCACCCUUGAACGCCGCCGAAAUAUUGAAAAGCUGUGCUGGUUGUAAAAUUUUAGACUCUUUCGCUCCACCGGGAAGAGUAGCGUACUAUUUUUAAUGCCGUAUCGCAUGCGAUUGGUGGUGUGGUAUUUUUGGAGAGCGGCGGCGCUCGGUGAAUUAUUGGAUUUUGUCCGGAAAGCCAAUCUGGCGUGCAAGAGCGUCGCUAUUCCGGCUUUAAAAUCAUGACGUAGGAUCUUCUCUCAAUUUCCUCACGUGCUUUUUAAACCUUUUGAUCAAAUAAUUCCAUUUUACAACAAAUUUUAAAUAAAAAAUGAUUUUUUCAAAUGAUGUUUAAAAACCCGUUGAUGUAAUUUACAUAAAAGCAUAAAUUUUCAAUCAGACAUAAUACAAUAUAAGUUUGACCAAAGUUUUUAGCGAAAAUUGUUGGAACGUUCAGGGGAAGCAGAGAAAAUUGUUUACGCCGAGUUUGUCGAAACCCUCUGUUGGAUGCUGUGGGAAAUGUUAUUCAAAUCAAAUUAAUUUAUGUUUGCUUGGAAGUCGAGCAUGAGGCGUGUGGAGGCAAACAUUGAGAGAAAAGUUGUCGCAAAACAAGCCCAAAUAUUUGCUCUUCGGCAUGGAGAAACUCAGAAUAGAUGCGCUUAAAUAUUUCAUCGUCGCGCGCGAGAGAGAAAACUCCGUCUGUGUAUAAUAAAAAUACACAAGAUCGAUCUGACUUGAAUGCUAGUGAAAAAAAAAUUGAAUUUUGAGUUGAAAUUUCAACCACCGUGGUCUAUGGAUGAGGCAAGGGUAGGCAACCGGCCACGCUUGCGAGCGCAUAAGGUUGCAUACGUUCACUUUUCACCCUAUUUUUUCCUCCCACUCUCUUUUCCGCCGCUCUCUCUCGGUCGUUUGAAUUAUUCAGGCGAGGCGAAAUCAGUGAGUCUUUUAGCAGUGAAGCCUGUGAAAUUCGCCUCUGCCUAUUUAAUAUUGGAUGAAGUUGGUUCCGUUCGUUUUCAGCUUUCCACGCGAGCUGUUUGUCAUGUCAUUCGCCUCUCGCUCUCUUAUACAGCCCCAGAAUUAGCAACGCAAACUUUGAAACUUUUAGCCGGCCGGAAUUUGUUGCUGCUCCGAGCAUGUAUAAUAUGCAAGGCAAAAGGAAAAAAAGUUAAAACUGCCGUCGCCCCGGUACACUGUCAAAUUGCACGCGACACGCAAAACUGACAUUACGCGCGCCGGCUGUAUAAAUUUUAAUUUUUUAU